CCCUUCGUAGCCAUAAAGCUUUAGGUAGGAGUGAAGAACAGACAUGUGAAUGAAGAACAACCUGCAAAUCAAAUCACAAGAGAUUCAAAAAUAUGGGGAGGGAGAAACCCACUCUUAAGCAAGGGAAGAGGAAGCCAUCCCACCCAAAUGAGACAAAGGAAAGCCGCCCUCGACAAUGGGAAGGCUGAAAACCUCACCAAAAGACGAGUUGAUAGGAAAUUCUCUCUUUCUAAAGAGAGAGAGAGAGAUUAGAACCUAGUAGGCAGGCUAAUUUACGUUAGGACAGAAUUUUAGGCAUCUUUUAAAUAAUUAGCCUGGCAAGUUGGCUAUCAUUCUCCAGUUGGGUGGACAGACGAAAAUUGAAAUCUCAACCACUUUUAAUUUGCCAUUUGUAGAGCACUGAUCACUGAUAUGGAUCAGGGAAAAAGGCAUGAUCCCAAAAG
RNAcentral lists this unclassified non-coding RNA (443 nucleotides) under Hevea brasiliensis (rubber tree). The record is from RNAcentral. Lineage: Eukaryota; Viridiplantae; Streptophyta; Magnoliopsida; Malpighiales; Euphorbiaceae.